UUUUUGUAUAUUAUAUAUUUAUAUAUUUAAAUGCAUAUUUACAUGAAAUUAAUUUUUACAUUUUAAGAUAUAUGUCUAAUGUAGUAUUUCUAUUUUUUUAUUUUUUCAUUUACAUUUUAAGAUAGAUGUUUAAUGCUUAACGUACCUUUUCCAUUUCUUAUAUUUUGUAUUUGCUUAUCAAUAUUAUUUUUGUCUAUUAUAUAUUUACAUAAUAUCUAUAUUUUACAUUUUAAGUUAAAUGUUUAAAGCUUAAUGUACAUUUUUUAAUUUUGUAUUUACAUUUUAAGAUAAAUGUUUAAUGCUUAAUGUACUUUUUAUAUUUUUUAUAUUAUGUAUUUACUUAUUCAUAUUAUUUUUUAUAUUAUAUAUUUUUUAAAUUGUGUAUUUACUUAUUAUUGUGUAUAUAAUUCGUAUAUUAUAUAUUUAUGCAUUCAAAGGUAUAUUUACUUAUAUUUUCGUAUGUGCUUACUUAUUAUUACCUUUUGUAUAUUAUAUAUUGACAUAUUUAAAUGUAUAUUUACAUGUAUUUAAUUUUUAAAUUGUAAGAUAGAUAUCUAAUGUAAUAUUUUCAUUCUUUAUUUUUUCAUUUACAUUUUAAGAUAGAUGUUUAGUGCUUAAUGUAGUUUUUUCAUUUUUUAUAUUUUGUAUUUACUUAUUAAUAUUAUUUUAGUAUAUUAUAUGUUUACUUAAUAUCAAUAUUUUACAUUUUAAGACAGAUUUUUAAGGUUUAAUGUACUUUUUCUAUUUUAUUUUAAAUUGUGCAUUUACAUGUUAAGAUAAAUUUUUAAUGCUUAAUAUAUUUUUUAUAUUUUUUAUUAUGUAUUUACUUAUUAAUAUUAUUUUGGUAUAUUAUAUAUAUUUUUAAUUGUGUAUUUACUUAUUAUUGUAUAUGUAAUUUGUAUAUUGUAUAUAUACAUAUUUAAAUGUAUAUUUACUUAGAUUUUCGUAUGAUUUAAUGUAUAUAUGGUAAUAAUGUGUAGUAUGAUAAUAUGAUUUAAUGUAAUAAGAUAAUAAUAGUAGUCAUGCCAGGUGGCUUUUUUCGAAGAGGGUUUCUAAAACGAUGUGGACAUUCCGUGGAGCCUCGAUUAGUCUUUUUUUUAUUUUUACUAGGGAUUAACCCGGGCUUGCCUGGGAUUUUUAUUUUUUUCUAAUUUAAGUUGUUAAAUUAUUUAUAUUUAGGUUAUGUUAAAUAUUUAUAUAAAUGUUAAGAUGCAUUCCAUAAUUAAAAUUUAUUUUUAUAUGCUAAACCAACUUAAAUUAUAUUUACAAUAGCACCAUCCUAAACCGGUUAAUAAACCAAAAAUAAUACUAAACUAACAUGAACCAAUACCUGAUUCGGUGAGGAAAGAAAUGUUUCGGGAUAAACGCUUGAAUGGUUAUUACCUGUAAUAGUUUG
This 1396-nucleotide long non-coding RNA is filed under the name Brassica rapa (field mustard). RNAcentral's name for it is "long non-coding RNA (BRAP_LNC006938)". Lineage: Eukaryota; Viridiplantae; Streptophyta; Magnoliopsida; Brassicales; Brassicaceae. The record is from RNAcentral.